Molecule: non-coding RNA, 82 nt
Organism: Podarcis lilfordi (Lilford's wall lizard)
Lineage: Eukaryota; Metazoa; Chordata; Lepidosauria; Squamata; Lacertidae
Source: the annotation of a GenBank genome assembly
GGAAAGGGCCACAGCUCAGUGACAGAGCGUCUGCCUUGCAUGCAGAAGGUUGUGGGUUCAGUCCCUAGUAUCAUCCCCUCCA